Molecule: ribosomal RNA, 253 nt
Filed under: uncultured bacterium
Lineage: Bacteria
Description: partial 16S ribosomal RNA
Rfam family: Bacterial small subunit ribosomal RNA
Source: RNAcentral
UACAGAGGUGGCAAGCGUUGUUCGGAAUUACUGGGCGUAAAGGGCGCGUAGGCGGUUCGUUAAGUCCUGUGUGAAAUCCCCCGGCUCAACUGGGGAACUGCACAGGAAACUAGCGGGCUUGAGUUCGGGAGAGGGAAGCGGAAUUCCGGGUGUAGCGGUGAAAUGCGUAGAUAUCCGGAGGAACACCGGUGGCGAAGGCGGCUUCCUGGACCGACACUGACGCUGAGGCGCGAAAGCUAGGGGAGCGAACAGG